CUCAGGAUGAACGCUGGCGGCGUGCCUAACACAUGCAAGUCGAACGGAGCGUUUUGGAAAUCNCUUCGGAGAUGGAAUUCUCGACUUAGUGGCGGACGGGUGAGUAACGCGUGAGCAAUCUGCCUUUAAGAGGGGGAUAACAUUCUGAAAAGAAUGCUAAUACCGCAUAAAGUGCACAGUUGGCAUCGACAGUGCACCAAAGGAGUAAUCCGCUGAAAGAUGAGCUCGCGUCCGAUUAGAUAGUUGGCGGGGUAACGGCCCACCAAGUCGACGAUCGGUAGCCGGACUGAGAGGUUGAACGGCCACAUUGGGACUGAGACACGGCCCAGACUCCUACGGGAGGCAGCAGUGGGGAAUAUUGCACAAUGGGCGAAAGCCUGAUGCAGCAACGCCGCGUGAGGGAAGACGGUCUUCGGAUUGUAAACCUUUGUCCUUGGUGACGAAAAGAAUGACGGUAGCCGAGGAGGAAGCCACGGCUAACUACGUG
Molecule: ribosomal RNA, 487 nt
Filed under: uncultured bacterium
Lineage: Bacteria
Description: bacterial SSU rRNA
Rfam family: Bacterial small subunit ribosomal RNA
Source: RNAcentral